This 455-nucleotide long non-coding RNA is filed under the name Cicer arietinum (chickpea). Its description in RNAcentral is "long non-coding RNA (CARI_LNC001150)". The record is from RNAcentral. Lineage: Eukaryota; Viridiplantae; Streptophyta; Magnoliopsida; Fabales; Fabaceae.
UUCCCGCUGCCAAAUACCUAAAUCCUCUUUUACAAGUUGCGUUGCUUCAACUUACCCUUCUCUCCUGCAAAACCCCUAAACGCACCGCCGCAACCUCACCGCCGCCGCUGCAACCUUCAACGAGCAACCUAAACGCACCGCUGCAACCUCACCGCCGCUGCCGCUGCAACCUUCAACGAGCAACCUAAACACACCGCCGCCGCAACCUAAACGCACCCGCCGCUGCAACCUUCAACGAGCAACCUAAAUGCACCGCCGCGACAACCUAAACGCACCGCCGCAACCUCAUCGUCGCCACCGCUACAAUCUUGAAUCAAGGUAUGCAGGUUUCUGCAAUUUUUCUUAAAAAUCCCCAAUUUUCUUUGCAAUUUUUCUGCAGUUUUGUGUUUUUGCUUAAAAAGCCCCAAUUUUUCUUCAAUAUAAAUGAGAAUAUUGCAAUUUUUCUUAAAAAUCCC